Molecule: ribosomal RNA, 253 nt
Filed under: uncultured bacterium
Lineage: Bacteria
Description: partial 16S ribosomal RNA
Rfam family: Bacterial small subunit ribosomal RNA
Source: RNAcentral
UACGGAGGGGGCUAGCGUUGUUCGGAAUUACUGGGCGUAAAGCGCACGUAGGCGGACUGUUAAGUCGGGGGUGAAAUCCCCCGGCUCAACCGGGGAACUGCACCUGAUACUGUUGGGCUUGAGUGCAGGAGGGGAGAGCGGAAUUCCUGGUGGAGCGGUGAAAUGCGUAGAUAUCAGGAGGAACGCCGGCGGCGAAAGCGGCUCUCUGGUCUGUUACUGACGCUGAGGCGCGAAAGCUAGGGGAGCAAACGGG